RNAcentral lists this ribosomal RNA (253 nucleotides) under uncultured bacterium. Its description in RNAcentral is "partial 16S ribosomal RNA". It matches the Rfam family "Bacterial small subunit ribosomal RNA", at positions 524 to 776 of the family's 1533-position model. The record is from RNAcentral.
GACAGAGGGUGCAAACGUUGUUCGGAAUUACUGGGCGUAAAGCGCAUGUAGGCGGCCUAGCAGGUCGGAUGUGAAAUCCCUCGGCUCAACCAAGGAAGUGCAUUCGAAACCGCAAGGCUCGAGUCCCGGAGAGGAUGGUGGAAUUCUCGGUGUAGAGGUGAAAUUCGUAGAUAUCGAGAGGAACACCGGCGGCGAAGGCGGCCAUCUGGACGAGGACUGACGCUGAGAUGCGAAAGCGUGGGGAGCAAACAGG